RNAcentral lists this ribosomal RNA (263 nucleotides) under uncultured archaeon. RNAcentral's name for it is "partial 16S ribosomal RNA". It matches the Rfam family "Archaeal small subunit ribosomal RNA", at positions 748 to 1008 of the family's 1478-position model. The record is from RNAcentral.
CAGCCGUAAACUAUGCGCGUUAGGUGUACUGGUGACCACGAGUCACCGGGGUGCCGAAGGGAAACCGUGAAACGUGCCGCCUGGGAAGUACGGUCGCAAGGCUGAAACUUAAAGGAAUUCCGGCGGGGGAGCACCACAACGGGUGGAGCCUGCGGUUUAAUUGGACUCAACGCCGGAAAUCUCACCGGAUAGGACAGACAAAUGAUAGUCGGGCUGAAGACUCUACUUGAUGAUCUGAGAGGAGGUGCAUGGCGUCAGUGACU